Arachis duranensis is the source of this 709-nucleotide long non-coding RNA. RefSeq lists it as uncharacterized. Lineage: Eukaryota; Viridiplantae; Streptophyta; Magnoliopsida; Fabales; Fabaceae. The transcript has 3 exons. The record is from RefSeq and is a predicted model, not a curated record.
CCCGCAUCCUCCCCCGCGUCCAAAGUUCAGAACCCAAUUCCCCCAAAUUCCCCGUUUCAUCCCCAAAUUCCCCAAUCACCAGAAACACAAUUCCUCGUUGUUCUACCCUAAAUUCACGGUUGCGCCACCAUCAUUCUCCACUGCCGUCGUUCCUCCGUCACGGUUACCCCUUCUUCUUCUUCUUCCGUGAACCUCCUUUUCUUCUCUCCUUCACUCACUCCUUCUGUUUACCCACUCUCCACCACCGUCCUCCUCUGGCGACGCCGUUUCAGCUGCCGCGCUGCUUCCCCCAGCCCACCUCAAGCUCCCCGGACUGAUUCUCCUCCUGGAAACGAUUCCGGCAUGCUUCAUUUUUAAUGCUUCAUUUUUAAUUCCUCCAUCAUUCGAGAAAGCUCUGACCCCUCCAUUAGGAAGACUGCAAAAGGAUGCUCAUUACUUCCUCAGGAUAUGAUUGGUAGAGACGGAGAUCGUGGCUGUGGCCGUGGCUGAGGCCGAAAGGGGAGGCCUAGGUAGAAAACUCUCACCUAUUCUGCAGUGAUCAGGACAACCAUAGAGUUCUCAAAGGGAGGAUGAUUCUAACGAUUUUGUUGACUCAAAUGAUUACUUAGACGAGUAUGAGUAGGUUAUUUAAUUACUUUACUUUGAAUAUUUUGUAUUAUUAGUGGAUUGCAAUUUAAACGAAUAUAAGUCUAAGUUUAGUUAUUUAUCU